RNAcentral lists this ribosomal RNA (484 nucleotides) under uncultured bacterium. RNAcentral describes it as "partial 16S ribosomal RNA". It matches the Rfam family "Bacterial small subunit ribosomal RNA", at positions 29 to 507 of the family's 1533-position model. The record is from RNAcentral.
AUUGAACGCUGGCGGCAUGCUUUACACAUGCAAGUCGAACGGCAGCGCGGGCUUCGGCCUGGCGGCGAGUGGCGAACGGGUGAGUAAUGCAUCGGAACGUGCCCAGUAGUGGGGGAUAGCCCGGCGAAAGCCGGAUUAAUACCGCAUACGACCUGAGGGUGAAAGCGGGGGACCGAAAGGCCUCGCGCUAUUGGAGCGGCCGAUGUCGGAUUAGCUAGUUGGUGAGGUAAAGGCUUACCAAGGCGACGAUCCGUAGCUGGUCUGAGAGGACGACCAGCCACACUGGGACUGAGACACGGCCCAGACUCCUACGGGAGGCAGCAGUGGGGAAUUUUGGACAAUGGGGGCAACCCUGAUCCAGCCAUGCCGCGUGCGGGAAGAAGGCCUUCGGGUUGUAAACCGCUUUUGUUCGGGAAGAAAUCCUCUGAGCUAAUACCCCGGGGGGAUGACGGUACCGGAAGAAUAAGCACCGGCUAACUACGUG